CGAGGCGGACAUAUAUAAGCCAAUUUUUUCGCCAUUCCCUCCCUCACAUCUACUGCCGGUAAAUCCAGAAGUGCGCGCGAGGCUUAAUUCCUGCAAGGCAAGAAUGUCGGAUGAAGGAAAGCUUUUUGUUGGUGGCCUGAGCUUUGACACCAAUGAACAGUCUCUUGAAGAUGUCUUUUCAAAGUAUGGACAGAUCACUGAAGUUGUUGUAAUCAAGGACCGGGAAAGUCAGAAAUCCAGAGGCUUUGGAUUCAUCACCUUCGAGAACCCAGAUGAUGCCAAGGAUGCCAUGAUUGCCAUGAAUGGCAAGUCCCUCGAUGGAAGACAGAUCCGUGUUGACCAGGCCGGGAAGUCUGGUGGUGGCGGCAGGCCGGGAGGAGGCUACAGAGGGGGAUCCUCAGGUGGUAGAGGCGGAGGAGGAGGAGGUGGAUACUACCGCGGGGGCAGAGGGGGUGGUGGACGAGGUGGGCGUGGCUUCUCACGAGGUGGCGGUGAGCGUGGGUACGGUGCCGGGCGUUACGACCGAAGUGGAGGCGGAGGUGGUUACUACAACAGAGACCGGGCACAAGGAGGCGGAUACGGGGAUCGCUCUGGAGGUGGUGGCCACUGACUUCUUCUGAAGCCUUCUGUAGUUCAGUUGUGUUGGCGAAAAUAAGGUCCAGUUUAGCACUGCAGAACUGGUGGAAAGGUAGGCUGGCCCCCACAGUAAGCAUUAGCCUGAGUAUGCUAGUAAAGGUCCUAGCAACCAAUCUCACCCCUGCCCCAUCCAUAGUUGUAUUUACUAACUCCUACCUCUGGACUUUUUCUUCAUGAACAGGUGGUGGCCACUGAGUUCUUCUGAAGCCUUCUGUAGUUCAGUUGUGUUGGUGAAAAUAAGGUCCAGUUUAGCACUGCAGAACUGGUGGAAAGGUGAUGAGGGAGGCUGGUAGACGGGCAGAAGUGGAUGCUUGCUGUCUGGGCCCAGCCCCACCCACCCAGACCCUGCCGACCGGUCCUGAACACCUCAAACAGGCCUGGUCCCUGGCCCACAGCU
Conger conger (European conger) is the source of this 1033-nucleotide RNA transcript. It is a transcript of the gene named cold-inducible RNA-binding protein B-like, with no coding region annotated. NCBI's taxonomy places the organism in Eukaryota, Metazoa, Chordata, Actinopteri, Anguilliformes, Congridae. The transcript is spliced from 8 exons. The record is from RefSeq and is a predicted model, not a curated record.